UACGGAGGAUCCAAGCGUUAUCCGGAUUUAUUGGGUUUAAAGGGUGCGUAGGCGGUUUAUUAAGUCAGGGGUGAAAGACGGCAGCUUAACUGUCGCAGUGCCUUUGAUACUGAUGAACUUGAAUGUACUAGAAGUAGGCGGAAUGUGACAAGUAGCGGUGAAAUGCAUAGAUAUGUCACAGAACACCGAUUGCGAAGGCAGCUUACUAUGGUAUUAUUGACGCUGAGGCACGAAAGCGUGGGGAGCAAACAGG
RNAcentral lists this ribosomal RNA (253 nucleotides) under uncultured bacterium. RNAcentral's name for it is "partial 16S ribosomal RNA". It matches the Rfam family "Bacterial small subunit ribosomal RNA", at positions 524 to 776 of the family's 1533-position model. The record is from RNAcentral.